GCCCGCUUAGCACAGUGGUACUGCGUUGCACUCGUAUCACGAAAAAUGCAAAGAUCGGCGGUUCGAUUCCGCCAGCGGGCA
This is a non-coding RNA of Lizanozyma spartinae, 81 nucleotides long. The record is from the annotation of a RefSeq genome assembly. Lineage: Eukaryota; Fungi; Ascomycota; Pichiomycetes; Serinales; Debaryomycetaceae.